Unclassified non-coding RNA from Cricetulus griseus (Chinese hamster), 297 nucleotides. Its record names the gene 7SK. It matches the Rfam family "7SK RNA". Rfam says of the family: 7SK was discovered as an abundant small nuclear RNA in the mid-70s but a possible function has only recently been suggested. Two independent studies have found that 7SK RNA binds the CDK9/cyclin T complex (known as elongation factor P-TEFb). The record is from Ensembl. NCBI's taxonomy places the organism in Eukaryota, Metazoa, Chordata, Mammalia, Rodentia, Cricetidae.
GAAUGUGAGGGCGAUCUGGCUUUGACAUCUGUCACCCCACUGAUCCUCAGGGUUGAUUCGGCUGAUCUGGCUGGCUAGGCCUGUGUCCCCUUCCUCCCCGACUGCUCCAUGUGCAGCCUUCCCAAAGCUGCGCACUCUCUUGGUCAAAGAGGAGACCUUCCCCAAAUAGAGGCAGAUUGGUCUUGGGUCAACAGUAUACAGUAGCUGUGUUCCCCUGCUAGAACCUCCAGACAAGCUCUCAAAAUGGUCAUGGGCUCAUUUCCAAAUGCUUUCAUCAAGAGGUAGGAUCUAUUUUCU